Non-coding RNA from Delftia acidovorans SPH-1, 83 nucleotides. It matches the Rfam family "Pseudomonas sRNA P9". From Rfam's summary of the family: P9 appears to be conserved in several Pseudomonas species in addition to Bordetella spp. The record is from Rfam. Lineage: Bacteria; Pseudomonadati; Pseudomonadota; Betaproteobacteria; Burkholderiales; Comamonadaceae.
CAGAUUAUUCGCACCAUCCAUUGGAUGGUGGGUUAGCCAGCGGCCUUCAGCGCCAUGCAACCCGCCCAGAGGAGGCGGGUUUU